This 420-nucleotide long non-coding RNA is filed under the name Populus trichocarpa (black cottonwood). RNAcentral describes it as "long non-coding RNA (PTRI_LNC000250)". The record is from RNAcentral. Lineage: Eukaryota; Viridiplantae; Streptophyta; Magnoliopsida; Malpighiales; Salicaceae.
UUUUUUUUUUAAUUUCAGUCUUUAUUCUUUUAAUUUUUUAUUUUGUUCUUAUUUAUUUUAUAGAAGUUUUUGUUUUCAAUUUAGUCCUUCAACUACAAUUUCUUAUAUGUUUUGUUUUUUUAUUUUGAUCUUUAUUCUUUUGAUUUUGAUUUUUUUUCCUUGACCCUUUUUUAAAGUUUUUUUUUGCUUUCAAUUUCAUUUUUCAAUCAAAAUUUUUGUUGUUUUUUUUUAUUUGACCCUCAUUCUAUUGAUUUUCUUUUUAUUUUAUUUUGUUAAAACUACUUUUCAAUUCAAUUUAACCCUCUAAUUAAAAUAUUUUGUUUGCCCUCUGAUUAUUUUUUUGUUCACCCUAAUUUUUUUAGAUCCUUUUAUGUGAUUGAUUCUUUUUCAUGGUUUCAUCUUUCGACAUUUGAUUUGUUA